AUUCUCCGAGAAUAUGCAGUGUCGAAGCGAAGGUGUUAAGCUCGCCGCCUGGGAAGUAUGGUCGCAAGACUGAAACUUAAAGGAAUUGGCGGGGGAGCACCACAAGGGGUGCGGCGUGCGGUUUAAUCUAACUCAACGCAGAGAAUCUCACCAGGGGCGACGGCAGGAUGAAAGUCAGCCUGAAGGGCUUACUUGACGAGCCGAGAGGUAGUGCAUGGUCGUCGUCAGCUCGUGCCGUGAGGUGUCCUCUUAAGUGAGGCAACGAGCGAGACCUGUACCUACACUUGCCAGCGAAUCCAUCGGAUGUUCGGGCACAGUGUAGGAACUGCCCUGGAAACAGGGAGGAAGGUGCAGGCGACGGUAGGUCUGUAUGCUCCGAAUCUCCUGGGCUACACGCGCGCAACAAUGGUAGGGACAAUGGGUCACAACCCCGAAAGGGGAAGUUAAUCCUCGAAACCCUAUCUAAGUCCAGAUUGAGGGUUGUAACUCACCCUCAUGACGAUGGAAUCCCUAGUAAUCAGAGGUCAACAUCCUCCGGUGAAUAUGUCCCUGCUCCUUGCACACACCGCCCGUCAAACCAACCGAGCAGGGUUUAGGUGAGUCUUGAUUUAUUGAUCAAAUCGAACCUAAGCUCAGUGAGGUGGGUUAAGUCGUAACAAGGUAGCC
RNAcentral lists this ribosomal RNA (666 nucleotides) under uncultured archaeon. RNAcentral's name for it is "bacterial SSU rRNA". It matches the Rfam family "Archaeal small subunit ribosomal RNA", at positions 780 to 1448 of the family's 1478-position model. The record is from RNAcentral.